Molecule: non-coding RNA, 324 nt
Organism: Lolium perenne
Lineage: Eukaryota; Viridiplantae; Streptophyta; Magnoliopsida; Poales; Poaceae
Source: RefSeq, a predicted model, not a curated record
UGUAUUUCACAUACUUCUUUUAUUCUUCUGCAGAACCAUGAGGUUCAAGCAAGCAACACAAGCUUCAAACAAACACAUCGAGGUUCACACCCAGCUUCCUUUUAUUUAACUUCAUAAUUUCACACCCAGCUUGCUCUAGCAUACCAGAGAGGUUGGAGCAAUUUUAUUCGAUUGGGGAGAAAACACCAUUAUCGUGUAUGAUCCCUCUUUACUGACUUAGUUGUAGGCAUCCGGGUUGGCGAUGAGAUAAGCCUCAACAGUCUUGAACAUUUCGGCGGCAGAGUCCUUGGCCUUGAGCAUCAUGUCCUUCGCCUCAGCACCCUU